GAUAGCGAACAAGUACCGUGAGGGAAAGUUGAAAAGCACUUUGAAGAGAGAGUUCAAGAGUACGUGAAACCGUUUAGGGGUAAACCUGAGAAACCCGAAAGGUCGAAGGGAGAAAUUCAUUCGCGUUUCGCAGUCGGCGUGAGACGAUCGAGUGACGGAAUCCGUCCUUGGGCGUUUUCUGCACCUUUUGUUUUUCGAUCCGAUAGCGAACGCGUGCACUUUUCUCCUGGUAGGACGUCGCGAUCCGUUGGGUGUCGGUCUACGGCUCACGGUGGAGCCCGGAUGUGCGGCUUGCCGUCACGUCCGGACCCGUGUGUCCCGGCUGACUCGCUCGACGGUAUACGAAAGGUUUGAGGCCGCUCUAGCGAGCGUUCGGCUCGUCGCAAGCGCGUCAAAUGUGUCGGUGAUCGGACCUAGUGCCGGUUCUGACCUUUGGCGACUGUUGGCGGCGAAGUUCUC
RNAcentral lists this ribosomal RNA (459 nucleotides) under Liophloeus tessulatus. RNAcentral describes it as "partial large subunit ribosomal RNA". It matches the Rfam family "Eukaryotic large subunit ribosomal RNA", at positions 336 to 612 of the family's 3401-position model. Lineage: Eukaryota; Metazoa; Arthropoda; Insecta; Coleoptera; Curculionidae. The record is from RNAcentral.